Long non-coding RNA from Drosophila sechellia, 485 nucleotides. RefSeq lists it as uncharacterized. The transcript is spliced from 2 exons. The record is from RefSeq and is a predicted model, not a curated record. Lineage: Eukaryota; Metazoa; Arthropoda; Insecta; Diptera; Drosophilidae.
ACACCUUAUCCCAGUUGGGUCUGCCGGCAUUGGUGCGGGUUUUCAGACCCGUGAUCAGAUCCCGCUUGCCCUGAUACUUUCAGCUGACACUCACCGCUCCAUGGCACCGCCCAGCUCUGCCUGCUCGAUCUCCAGUUGGGACAGCAGAUUGACGAACCACUCGAAGGAUCUUUGAUCCCUGUUGAUCCAGAAGAAGUCUACCUUCCGCAGAUUCAUCACAGACUUGGGUAUCUCGCUGGCCCAUUCGAAUUGGCAUCUCGGGCAACUGUGCCGGGCUUUCCAGUACCGAUGCAUGAUGGACUAUUUAGGAUUACACUGUUAGAUGCGUUCAUGGACUACACAAGAUCUAUUAUACCUGCAGAAUGGAGGCAAAUGGUGUGACUCCAAUGCCCGUGCCAAUUAGCACCGCGUGCUGAGCGCCAAAGAUGUGACUCGACGGUGCUCCAUAUGGGCCAUCAAUAAAAAUCUGUGUGGAGAAUCAGAAA